UGACAUAGCAGUUUUCAGUGCUUUAACC
RNAcentral lists this non-coding RNA (28 nucleotides) under Rattus norvegicus (Norway rat). The record is from RNAcentral. Lineage: Eukaryota; Metazoa; Chordata; Mammalia; Rodentia; Muridae.